GGGUGAAGGUCUCAGGGAGGCGGUGAGGCCUGUCGCAGCUUGUUGCAAUGAGGACUAUCCCAGAAGGCAACACAAAGAGUGCAAACUUAAAACAGCCCUGCGAGAUGUUAUUCCAGCCAGAGUGGAAACCGAUACAUUGCUGCACGAUCCACUUAGCGUCGUGGAGGAGACGGGCCAAGUGACUGAAAUCGAGCAGCGAUGUGGAAGCACAGGACUCUGAUCCCACCUCCGUGCCUCGUGCUGCUGUGCGCCAUCGGACUGGCUCAGGAGUUAAUGGAGCUGCACGUCUCUUCACAUUUGGAUAACCAGGGCAACUGGAGUUUGCACUGUAACAUCUCUUCAGCUGAGUCACUCAUCAUCGAGCACUGGGUCUGGCUGGAUCCAGCAGACACAGAACUGUGCAGAGUCAAUGACUCGCAGCCUGUUUCCGGUCCAUGUGAAUAUGUGCCACAGAAGCAGCUGACGCUCAGCUUGGAUACUGUCAAGCCGCGAAACGCAGGCAACUACACCUGCAGAAUUUUGUCUAGCAGAGGUAUGAAAUUAGCCAUGGUGGGAGUCAAGAUCGUCCCGACGUCCAACCAAGAACCACUAAGAAGAGGCACCACCAGCUCUGUGUGUGGCCCUCGGCUGCCGUGGGUCGGACUGCUGGUCAUCCUGCUGAUGAUGUGAGAUGACAGGUGUGUGAUUGGGAGAGCAAUUCAGCCUGUUAAAGUACCUCACCUGCAAGUAAGGUUGAGUGCGAUGUGUACUAACCAACAGGAGUAAACGGCAUGUGACUCAUUUACUUUGACCAGAGAUGUUUCUAGCUAUUAUAAAAAAAAUCAGGGGCUAAGUCAAGUUUACCUAAGGUUUGACUUCCUUGUUUUUUAAGGAGGACUGUUUUUAAGGAGGACUGGCUUCGGGGCUAAAAUACUCUGUUCUGGAACCUAAUGAUGCUCGUGGUUUUGACUCAUGCGUACUGUCACUGUCUUUAAUUGUUAUGCCAUUUGAUUGAAUACACCUCAAACCUGUAUGAAUCACACUAGCUCUGCCACUCACACUUUAAAGACAACAAUCUUAGGUUAAACCUUAGUUGACAACAAGCAUAAACUCAUUUCAACUGCUGACUCAGUAGUUACCUGCUGAGAACUAUCGGCAAGUCAUUUACAAUACAUACAACAUAUUUUAAACGCUUUGUGUGAUUUUAGGUGGCUAGUUACCGCUUCCUACUUAGAUGGGUGUCUUGAGGGAAGCUUACAGGUAUUUCGAACAAGAACUUUGCCAGCGGCGACUUCUACUGCCCCCUGGUGGCAAACCAGUUAAACUGCAGCUUUUGUUUUUAUUUACGUUAACAGGAGAAGCCAGCCAAGUGAGGGGUAAAACCACAGCUGAUCUCUCACAGAAACAGACAAUGGGCAAUUGUUUGUGGUACUUAAUCGGAAGUCAGCUUCUUCCUUCAAUGCAUAUGUAUAGCACACAGCUGCACUGGAAUGCGGCCUACCUAUAGCAUUGCUCAUUUUUUUAUAGUUUGAACCUAGUUCAAAAAUUUCCCUCUGGGAUCAAUAAAUACCAUCUAAUGUAGAUGUCUCCCCACAAUUUUCCUGUGGCCGUUAACAAGGUAUUUUCAGCAAGAGUGAUGUUGGCAGGAUGUUUUAAUGCGUAUUGCUUUCAACACUGUAAUAUGUGUAAAUGCCAGGAACGCGACUGUUUCUGAGAUGCUGGGACCACUGGGGAAAACAGCACUGUCACCUAUCAGAGUAAUUUACAACUAAAUGCUGAAUUUGUUCUAAUAAAGUUUUCUUUUCUGUUUUUUAAAUCGGUGCCAUAACUGUGACAUAACUGACUAUGUUACACAUGCCCAGUAGUGACUACCUUUGUUUGAGCUUCUGCGCAUUUGUGCCAAAAACACUCUUUAAGAUAAUGAAAGAUGUGUUUUGGGGGUCAGGUUCUGUCCUCAUAGAGAAAUAAAGAUAUUGCAGCCUAAAA
Long non-coding RNA from Brienomyrus brachyistius, 1965 nucleotides. RefSeq lists it as uncharacterized. The transcript has 4 exons. Lineage: Eukaryota; Metazoa; Chordata; Actinopteri; Osteoglossiformes; Mormyridae. The record is from RefSeq and is a predicted model, not a curated record.